Macaca mulatta (Rhesus monkey) is the source of this 62-nucleotide small nuclear RNA. Its record names the gene U7. It matches the Rfam family "U7 small nuclear RNA". Rfam says of the family: Animal histone pre-mRNAs are spliced by a different mechanism than nuclear pre-mRNAs and self-splicing introns. This processing involves the U7 snRNP, which contains only one RNA species: U7. NCBI's taxonomy places the organism in Eukaryota, Metazoa, Chordata, Mammalia, Primates, Cercopithecidae. The record is from Ensembl.
AAGUGUUACAGCUCUUUUAGAAUUUGUCUAGCAGGCUUUCCAGUUUCUGGUGGGAAGCUCCC